RNAcentral lists this ribosomal RNA (253 nucleotides) under uncultured bacterium. RNAcentral's name for it is "partial 16S ribosomal RNA". It matches the Rfam family "Bacterial small subunit ribosomal RNA", at positions 524 to 776 of the family's 1533-position model. The record is from RNAcentral.
UACGGAGGGUGCAAGCGUUAUCCGGAUUUAUUAGGUUUAAAGGGUCCGUAGGCGGGAUCUUAAGUCAGUGGUGAAAGCCUGCAGCUUAACUGUAGAACUGCCAUUGAUACUGGGAUUCUUGAAUUUGAUUGAGGUAGGCGGAAUGAGAAGUGUAGCGGUGAAAUGCGUAGAUAUUUCUCAGAACACCGAUUGCGAAGGCAGCUUACUAAGUCAAUAUUGACGCUGAUGGACGAAAGCGUAGGUAGCGAACAGG